This 432-nucleotide ribosomal RNA is filed under the name Conus cordigera. Its description in RNAcentral is "Conus nobilis cordigera partial 16S ribosomal RNA". It matches the Rfam family "Bacterial large subunit ribosomal RNA", at positions 1845 to 2597 of the family's 2925-position model. The record is from RNAcentral. Lineage: Eukaryota; Metazoa; Mollusca; Gastropoda; Neogastropoda; Conidae.
AUACGAAGUCGGACCUGCCCAGUGAGUUUUAAACGGCCGCGGUACUCUGACCGUGCAAAGGUAGCAUAAUCACUUGCCUUAUAAUUGAAGGCUGGAAUGAAUGGUUUGACAAGAAUACGUCUGUCUCUUUUAGAUUGCUUAGAAUUUUAUCUUCGGAUGAAAAAGUCCAGAUAUUAUUAAAAGACAAGAAGACCCUAUCGAGCUUUAGAGGAGUUAAUAGGUCUUUGGUUGGGGCAACCGAGGAGUAAACAAAACCUCCUCUUGUGUUGAUCCAAAGUUUUUGAUCAAAGAAAUUAGUUACCGUAGGGAUAACAGCAUUAUUUUUUUUAAGAGCCCAUAUCGAAAAAAAAGUUUGUGACCUCGAUGUUGGACCAGAAUAUCCUAAAGAUGCAGAAGUCUUUAAGGGUUGGUCUGUUCGACCAUUAAAAUUCU